RNAcentral lists this ribosomal RNA (253 nucleotides) under uncultured bacterium. RNAcentral's name for it is "partial 16S ribosomal RNA". It matches the Rfam family "Bacterial small subunit ribosomal RNA", at positions 524 to 776 of the family's 1533-position model. The record is from RNAcentral.
UACGUAGGGUGCGAGCGUUGUCCGGAAUUACUGGGCGUAAAGAGCUCGUAGGUGGUUUGUCGCGUUGUUCGUGAAAACCGGGGGCUUAACCCUCGGCGUGCGGGCGAUACGGGCAGACUUGAGUACUGCAGGGGAGACUGGAAUUCCUGGUGUAGCGGUGAAAUGCGCAGAUAUCAGGAAGAACACCCGUGGCGAAGGCGGCUUUCUGGGACGGUACUGACGCUGAGACGCGAAAGCCAGGGGAGCAAACGGG